UGAUCCUGGCUCAGAAUGAACGCUGGCGGCGUGCUUAACACAUGCAAGUCGAACGAUGAAACCUAGCUUGCUAGGUGGAUUAGUGGCGCACGGGUGAGUAAUAUAUAGAUAACGUGCCUCUUAGUCUGGGAUAGCCAUUGGAAACGAUGAUUAAUACUAGAUACUCCUUCUAACUCUAAUGUUAGUUGGGAAAGUUUUUCGCUAAGAGAUCGGUCUAUAUCCCAUCAGUUAGUUGGUAGUGUAAGAGACUACCAAGGCAAUGACGGGUAGCGGGUUUGAGAGGAUGAUCCGCCACACUGGUACUGAGACACGGACCAGACUCCUACGGGAGGCAGCAGUGAGGAAUAUUGCACAAUGGAGGAAACUCUGAUGCAGCAACGCCGCGUGGAGGAUGACGCAUUUCGGUGUGUAAACUCCUUUUAUAUGUCAAGAAAAUGACGGUAGCAUAUGAAUAAGCACCGGCUAACUCCGUGCCAGCAGCCGCGGUAAUACGGAGGGUGCAAGCGUUAUUCGGAAUCACUGGGCGUAAAGGACACGUAGGCGGGAAGCCAAGUCUGAUGUGAAAUCCUACAGCUUAACUGUAGAACUGCAUUGGAAACUGGUUACCUAGAGUAUGGGAGGGGGAGAUGGAAUUAGUGGUGUAGGGGUAAAAUCCGUAGAUAUCACUAGGAAUACCUAAAGCGAAGGCGAUCUCCUGGAACAAUACUGACGCUAAGGUGUGAAAGCGUGGGGAGCAAACGGGAUUAGAUACCCCGGUAGUCCACGCCCUAAACGAUGUUCACUAGUCGUCGGGAUGCUAGUCAUCUCGGUGAUGCACUUAACAGAUUAAGUGAACCGCCUGGGGAGUACGGUCGCAAGAUUAAAACUCAAAGGAAUAGACGGGGACCCGCACAAGUGGUGGAGCAUGUGGUUUAAUUCGAAGAUACGCGAAGAACCUUACCUAGCCUUGACAUUGAUUGAACUCAGUAGAGAUACAGAGGUGCCCUUCGGGGAACAUGAAAACAGGUGCUGCACGGCUGUCGUCAGCUCGUGUCGUGAGAUGUUGGG
Molecule: ribosomal RNA, 1047 nt
Filed under: uncultured Campylobacterota bacterium
Lineage: Bacteria; Pseudomonadati; Campylobacterota
Description: bacterial SSU rRNA
Rfam family: Bacterial small subunit ribosomal RNA
Source: RNAcentral